Oryza sativa Japonica Group (Japanese rice) is the source of this 196-nucleotide microRNA precursor. It matches the Rfam family "MIR812 microRNA precursor family". The record is from Rfam. NCBI's taxonomy places the organism in Eukaryota, Viridiplantae, Streptophyta, Magnoliopsida, Poales, Poaceae.
AAAAAGACAAAUCCUAGGUUUCCGUGUCCAACGUUUAACUGUUCGUCUUAUAUGAAAUUAUUUUAUAAUUAGUAUUUUUAUUGUUGUUAGAUGAUAAAACAUGAUUAAUACUUUAUGUGUGACUUGUUUUUUUAAUUUUUUUCAUAUAAGACGGACGGUCAAACGUUGGAUAUGAAAACCUAAGUUUGUCUUUUUU